CAGCUUUCCAUAUUGGAAAGUGGCGCCUUUCAUCCGCCAAUGAGGUGGUGAGGGCGGCGUGUGUGUAUCAUGACGUCACGCCAGCGGUCACGGCCCACGGGACAAGCACUCAGCUGUCAGGAAGCAGCAGGUGUCAUGGAAGGGCCCUGGUGGUGGACUGGUGGUUGAGGUUGAUAUGCCCAGCGUGAAAAGUGUGUGACUGGCUGAGUUUUGGUGCCUUGGGGUGGGCGUGGGAUGUCUGGCGGGCGUGGUGACAGGAGUGAUCCUUGGCACACAUCGUUUCACCGAAUUUAUCCCACGCUGCUGGACUUUGAGGAAUGUUGCAUGUGUAGCAAGGAAUGGACGUCAGCUGCUGGCUGAGGCUGCUGGACCACUUGUCACCACUCCCUUCCCUUUACUUUGACGCUCAGUUGGUGGCCCAAAGGAGGAAGAUGGAAGCAUGGACAGUUAACCAUCGUCAACUGUCGUAUAGAAGGAAAGUCAAGCCAAGCCAAGCCAAGCCACAACACAACACAAGCCUUCUACAAGACCUACAGCCAUCAGCAACACCCAGAGUACAAGACAAUACCUGAGCCAUGAAGAAGAGUUAGGAUAGAUUAGCAGUUUGUCAUGUUUUUUUUUUUUUUUUUUUUUUUUUUUUUUUU
RNAcentral lists this unclassified non-coding RNA (644 nucleotides) under Portunus trituberculatus (swimming crab). RNAcentral's name for it is "uncharacterized LOC123509208, transcript variant X3". Lineage: Eukaryota; Metazoa; Arthropoda; Malacostraca; Decapoda; Portunidae. The record is from RNAcentral.